CCGUCGUGCUCCCAUUCGCCCCCUUCUCUCUGCACUUCCUCUCCUCUCGCCGCCGCCGCCCCGUCCUCCUCGAUUUGCCGCCACGUUCUUCAGGUGGCUUUCCUCUCGCUUACCGUCGAUGCUGCCGCAGCCGCCUCUCUCGCUACUGCUGCCAAGACGAGGCCGCCGUCGAGCUUGCUCCUCGUCAUCCCUGGGAGGGCGUCGACGAGCUCGGUGAGCGCCAAGCCGUCAUCCUCGCGUCGACCUGCCCCUCCCGGUGUGCUUGGCAGCCUGAGGACUUGAGCGUGGCGUCCACGUUGGACCGCUGUGGGCUCAAGCGGCCCUUCCCGCCGCCGUCGCUGGCAAGCACAUCCGCGCGCUCAUGGGGCGGCGGCACGGCUCCGUCAAGCCCAAUGAGGCAUCCAUCCUCGAGGGCGGCGAGCCGGAGCUGGGCCUGGACAAGGGAUUCAGUUUCUCCAAGCACUUCUUCGCCAAGUACGAGCUCGGCGAGGAGGCCAGCUGCGGUCACUUUGGAUACACCUGCGCCGCCAAGGCCAAGAAGGGCGAGCACAAGGGCCAGGGCGUCGCCGUCAAGGUCAUUCCCAAGGCCAAGGCAUAUCCGUCUGAAUGAUGAUGUCAUAUUGCAGUUUGGAUCGAAAGGUGCUCGAUGAUUCGCUUCAUAGGACCACUGCUGCUCGGAUUGAUUUCGUUGUUACACAGGUGUUUUGCUAAUCGCGUUUGUCAAGAUUGUUCUUUGCACUGACUUUCAUAUGCAAGAAGCAUACAAUGCUAAUAUGGAAUAUUAUGCUUUCAAGUUUCAUGGUACUUCCCAUUUCUUCUUCUCAACACAACUUUGCUAAUCCGAGAAAAAAUCACGAAGCCUUGGUUCCCAUAUUAUUUUCUGUUUCGUGUGUGUUUAUUGUAUGAUUGAUUAUAUCCAUUUCUAAUAGGGAUAAUAUGUUGAUGCUAGAGGUUAAACUCUAAAAUCUGACAAGGGCACUGUGUUCAGGAUGUGGUUGAGAGAAUAGUAGUUGGCGUGAAUUUAGAGCAUUUAUGUUUUAACAAGCAAAGGGGACGAGUGCAAGAAAUUUGAGCCACUGAUCUCAUUAUGUAUGCAUUACAUAUAUGCUUGUUUUCAUUAUUGUAAGAAGCACAUCAAUUGACAUGCUUUCAGAACUUAAAUUGCGAAAAAAAUCCUGGCUAGCUGUUUGAAGCAAUUGUUGUUAAGUUCAAAUACGUGGAUUUUCCUUUUAUUUUAAGAAGCAUUUACCCUUUCUACUUGACUGUAUAUAUGUGCUCUCACAAUGUUUGCAAAUGCAUAUGGUGUCGAGUGUACAGCCAUACACGCGAGUCAUUUCACCAUUUUGCAUCACUCUGAUAUUGAUAUCGUUUGUCUUGAAUAUAUCGCCAUAUAGUAUUCAGAGAUGAUCGAGCAGGUUGACCGUGGUGUAAAACAUACUCACCCUGACAUGCAUUUCUUCUGUGGAAACACUUCUUUUGCAAAAUCCAAUCAGGUAAAUCUCCAGUAUAUAAGUGUAGAUAGUGUUCAACUAGGAUACAUGACUGAUCAUUUGUGAUUGUGACCAGGAUUCUCUGAGAAAUAUAUUAAUUAUCUUCGCCAAGCUGAAUACUGGGAUAAAGUCAUUUGUGUCUACCACUUCCAUAUUUUCUUGAGGAGAUUAUGUUGAUAUAUUUAGGGUAGUCAUUCCAGGUUGGGGUUGGAGGGCGGUAAAAGGAGCAUGUUAUCAUAGCAUUGGCGGUGGCUCAUCUUGGGUUACUCCGUCGUCCUAUAAGGUCGCCGACAGACUAUCAGAUCUCUAGGAGGUGGUGCUGGGUGGUGAUGUCACUUAGUUGGAAACUUGCUGGGUCGUAUUCUGAAUAAUAGUGCAAGGUACCUUGAGUAAAUGAUCUGCAAAUCAGUGCAUCUGGAACGCUAGGAUGUGUGGGGACAAAAAGCUUUACGAGGCUUGUCAGCAAUGAUUGAUGAGAUAAUUGGUUCAGCUACUUUCGUAAGAGGCGACGGGAAUCAUAAAUACCACAAUGGCUAUGAAGAUUCAACAUAUAGAAAGAUGGAAGAGCUCAGCUGAGAGUGAGCAACAGGCAGAGCUGGAUGCACAUGGGAGAUUGAAAAGAAGUUUGGUUGCAGGAUGCAUUACUAACUGUUCCGCGUAGACGAUCAGACUCUUCAAAAUAUAGCGUAAGGAAAGGUUGAUGUUUGCCAAGUUUCCUCUACCACUCUUCUUAUGCAUGAUUCCUUAUUAAGAUUCACAAAGGUGGCUAGCCCAGUAAAUGAAUCUACUUCUGGGCUGAUUCAUGUUGUCAGAAUCACACAGAGGUCAUGACUGAUUGUGCACCAGAAUCUUGAGUGUGAUUCACGUAGUUUGGUGUUUUUAUUAUGAUUAAGGCUCAGGUCUUUUGCCUGGAAGUAUUAUUAUAUUGAUUGAAUUAACUUAAUAUUAGUUCUUCAUGAUUAUUUUUGUUGGUCCAUCUAUUUUAUUGUUAUAUAGAAGACAACAAAAUGUUUGUACUUAGGAUGUGCAUAUGUGAUUUGUUUAAGUUACUAUGUGUCAAGUGAGUAGUACUUACUUAGGGAGCUAGCCCAAUGCUAUGUAAAAAGGAGAUUUAUGAGAAUUCAAUAUUGAAAGAUUUGACAUAUUUUGUCUUUCAUGUUUCUCUAUAUCUGCUACAAUGCCUGGAUUGCCAGAUGUUGGUCUCAGCUCCGAUGGAGAAAUGACAGAUCAAGGGCAUUUAAUCACUAAAGUAGUAUCGAUACCAAUGAUUGGUGAUGCUGAUAAUGGUUAUGGAAACUGUAUCAAUGUCAAGUUGAUAGCGAAAUGAUUUAUCAAUGUUGGUUUUGCUAAAAUUAUUCUUGAAGAUUAACUAUUCAUUUGAAGUAAUAAUAACCUACCUUAGUUUAUUUUUGUUCUACUUGAAAUUCAGCAAUAAAGGGAUUAUGUUAUAUCUUCUGUAUCAA
This is a long non-coding RNA of Triticum aestivum (bread wheat), 2953 nucleotides long. RefSeq lists it as uncharacterized. Lineage: Eukaryota; Viridiplantae; Streptophyta; Magnoliopsida; Poales; Poaceae. The transcript is spliced from 7 exons. The record is from RefSeq and is a predicted model, not a curated record.